Nothobranchius furzeri (turquoise killifish) is the source of this 1098-nucleotide non-coding RNA. The record is from RefSeq and is a predicted model, not a curated record. NCBI's taxonomy places the organism in Eukaryota, Metazoa, Chordata, Actinopteri, Cyprinodontiformes, Nothobranchiidae.
GCUUGUAGAACGGCGUUGGAAAACAACGCUUUUUUCCUCUCAAUUCAUUUAUACUCUCAUUUUUCCUCAGCGGUCAGGUUUUUUUCCCCAUGUUGAACUGAUCUUCUUCAUAUUGAAGUGGCGAGCUGGUAGGAUCAUUCUUUCUUUUUGGAAUCGGGAAAUUAGCUAUUACCGUAAAUCCUCUAAUACAGGCCCGGGCCUGUAUUUGACUCAAGCUCAUCAAGCUGCAGGCCUUUAUUGGAAGGAGGGCCAGUAUUAGAGGCAGGCCUCUAUUUCUAUUUGAGCAAAAUGAACUAAUGGUUCACUGGAGUUUUUGACAAUUAAAAUUGCGCCCACAUUUUCAAAGUUAAACACAUUUCUUUUAACAACGGUAGUUUCUGCUUCAGCCCUCUCCCCCCUCCCCCUGCGCAGCGGCUGCAAACUCACUGAUGCGCCUGCAGCCUCUCGGAGUUCCUGCUGCUCUAAACAUUAAAAUAAUUAUUUCAUUUUCUGUUCCUCACUUCUGAUUACCUUCAAUGGUGUCUGUUUGUUGCAACCACCAGGUACAAAAACUAACUUGUUUUUAUUUGACUAUUUUUCUGUCCUGCCUGUUUAUUAUCUUCCUGCAUCUCCUCUCAAUCCUAAAGAGAAACUGCUACCUGUGUUCAUAUAUAUUGACCUUAUGAGUUACCUUUGAACUGCAGUUCUAAAAGAGCUACCGACCGCAAAAACAGUGGAGCGCUCCCUGCUUGGCGGGCGUAUCAUACAGUCCGAGCAAUAAACGCAGAAGUUCCAAACACCCGUUGUGUGCGAGAAGCAUCGAAAUGAACUGUUUAAUCUGCCCAUCAUUUGUGUUGAGAGAUCAGCAGUGUUUGGAUCAACAAAGGGCGACUACUUUGACAGUAGAAACUGUAUUUAUGGCUUAUUUUUGUGCAUUUAAAGUUCAGCCGCCAUUGAUAGUUGUUAAAAGUUGUUAAACCUGUGCAUAUGAAACAAAAAACGCCUUUUGUUUAUCGAUUUAUUGUGAAAAAAGGAAGUUGUGCUUGCUCCUUUUCCUGUUGGGCAGUUGUGAUUUCUGUCCAUUGACUGCGGAGGUGCUCCGGCGAAAAUAGGAUCGAU